Molecule: ribosomal RNA, 404 nt
Filed under: Actinomycetes bacterium
Lineage: Bacteria; Bacillati; Actinomycetota; Actinomycetes
Also listed under: 1 other name
Description: Actinobacteria bacterium partial 16S ribosomal RNA
Rfam family: Bacterial small subunit ribosomal RNA
Source: RNAcentral
UGGGGAAUAUUGGACAAUGGGCGCAAGCCUGAUCCAGCCAUGCCGCGUGAGUGAUGAAGGCCCUCGGGUUGUAAAGCUCUUUCACCGGUGAAGAUAAUGACGGUAACCGGAGAAGAAGCCCCGGCUAACUUCGUGCCAGCAGCCGCGGUAAUACGAAGGGGGCUAGCGUUGUUCGGAUUUACUGGGCGUAAAGCGCACGUAGGCGGACUUUUAAGUCAGGGGUGAAAUCCCGGGGCUCAACCCCGGAACUGCCUUUGAUACUGGAAGUCUUGAGUAUGGUAGAGGUGAGUGGAAUUCCGAGUGUAGAGGUGAAAUUCGUAGAUAUUCGGAGGAACACCAGUGGCGAAGGCGGCUCACUGGACCAUUACUGACGCUGAGGUGCGAAAGCGUGGGGAGCAAACAGG